CCUACAAGAGGCUGCAGUGAGGAAUAUUGGUCAAUGGGCGCGAGCCUGAACCAGCCAAGUAGCGUGAAGGAUGACUGCCCUACGGGUUGUAAACUUCUUUUAUAAAGGAAUAAAGUGAGGCACGUGUGCCUUUUUGUAUGUACUUUAUGAAUAAGGAUCGGCUAACUCCGUGCCAGCAGCCGCGGUAAUACGGAGGAUCCGAGCGUUAUCCGGAUUUAUUGGGUUUAAAGGGAGCGUAGAUGGGUUGUUAAGUCAGUUGUGAAAGUUUGCGGCUCAACCGUAAAAUUGCAAUUGAUACUGGCAGCCUUGAGUACAGUUGAGGUAGGCGGAAUUCGGGGUGUAGCGGUGAAAUGCUUAGAUAUCACGAAGAACGCCGAUUGCGAAGGCAGCUUACUAAACUGCCACUGACAUUGAUGCUCGAAAGUGUGGGUAUCAAACAGGAUUAGAUACCCCAGUAGUC
Molecule: ribosomal RNA, 460 nt
Filed under: uncultured bacterium
Lineage: Bacteria
Description: partial 16S ribosomal RNA
Rfam family: Bacterial small subunit ribosomal RNA
Source: RNAcentral